This 1487-nucleotide ribosomal RNA is filed under the name Priestia megaterium. RNAcentral describes it as "Bacillus megaterium 16S ribosomal RNA". It matches the Rfam family "Bacterial small subunit ribosomal RNA". Lineage: Bacteria; Bacillati; Bacillota; Bacilli; Caryophanales; Bacillaceae. The record is from RNAcentral.
AUCCUGGCUCAGGAUGAACGCUGGCGGCGUGCCUAAUACAUGCAAGUCGAGCGAACUGAUUAGAAGCUUGCUUCUAUGACGUUAGCGGCGGACGGGUGAGUAACACGUGGGCAACCUGCCUGUAAGACUGGGAUAACUUCGGGAAACCGAAGCUAAUACCGGAUAGGAUCUUCUCCUUCAUGGGAGAUGAUUGAAAGAUGGUUUCGGCUAUCACUUACAGAUGGGCCCGCGGUGCAUUAGCUAGUUGGUGAGGUAACGGCUCACCAAGGCACGAUGCAUAGCCGACCUGAUAGGGUGAUCGGCCACACUGGGAUUGAGACACGGCCCAGACUCCUACGGGAGGCAGCAGUAGGGAAUCUUCCGCAAUGGACGAAAGUCUGACGGAGCAACGCCGCGUGAGUGAUGAAGGCUUUCGGGUCGUAAAACUCUGUUGUUAGGGAAGAACAAGUACGAGAGUAACUGCUCGUACCUUGACGGUACCUAACCAGAAAGCCACGGCUAACUACGUGCCAGCAGCCGCGGUAAUACGUAGGUGGCAAGCGUUAUCCGGAAUUAUUGGGCGUAAAGCGCGCGCAGGCGGUUUCUUAAGUCUGAUGUGAAAGCCCACGGCUCAACCGUGGAGGGUCAUUGGAAACUGGGGAACUUGAGUGCAGAAGAGAAAAGCGGAAUUCCACGUGUAGCGGUGAAAUGCGUAGAGAUGUGGAGGAACACCAGUGGCGAAGGCGGCUUUUUUGGUCUGUAACUGACGCUGUGGCGCGAAAGCGUGCGUGGACGCAAACAGGAUUAGAUACCCUGGUAGUCCACGCCGUAAACGAUGAGUGCUAAGUGUUAGAGGGUUUCCGCCCUUUAGUGCUGCAGCUAACGCAUUAAGCACUCCGCCUGGGGAGUACGGUCGCAAGACUGAAACUCAAAGGAAUUGACGGGGGCCCGCACAAGCGGUGGAGCAUGUGGUUUAAUUCGAAGCAACGCGAAGAACCUUACCAGGUCUUGACAUCCUCUGACAACUCUAGAGAUAGAGCGUUCCCCUUCGGGGGACAGAGUGACAGGUGGUGCAUGGUUGUCGUCAGCUCGUGUCGUGAGAUGUUGGGUUAAGUCCCGCAACGAGCGCAACCCUUGAUCUUAGUUGCCAGCAUUUAGUUGGGCACUCUAAGGUGACUGCCGGUGACAAACCGGAGGAAGGUGGGGAUGACGUCAAAUCAUCAUGCCCCUUAUGACCUGGGCUACACACGUGCUACAAUGGAUGGUACAAAGGGCUGCAAGACCGCGAGGUCAAGCCAAUCCCAUAAAACCAUUCUCAGUUCGGAUUGUAGGCUGCAACUCGCCUACAUGAAGCUGGAAUCGCUAGUAAUCGCGGAUCAGCAUGCCGCGGUGAAUACGUUCCCGGGCCUUGUACACACCGCCCGUCACACCACGAGAGUUUGUAACACCCGAAGUCGGUGGAGUAACCGUAAGGAGCUAGCCGCCUAAGGUGGGACAGAUGAUUGGGG